ACACACCGCCCGUCAAGCCAUGGAAGCCGGGGCGCUUGAAGUGCGUUGCCGCAAGGCGCGCCUAGAGCGAAACCGGUGACUGGGGCUAAGUCGUAACAAGGUACC
RNAcentral lists this ribosomal RNA (105 nucleotides) under uncultured bacterium. Its description in RNAcentral is "partial 16S ribosomal RNA". It matches the Rfam family "Bacterial small subunit ribosomal RNA", at positions 1385 to 1500 of the family's 1533-position model. The record is from RNAcentral.